ACAACAUUUAAGUGACAGUUUAUAAAAAUCUUUUCAUGCAUUCGGAAAUGUAAGACGAGCGUAAAUGUAGCUGUUUGAAACUUGGCUUAUUAAUCAAGAUAUAUUAUAUUUUGGGCAUAGUACGCAGUUACAUUGGAUGUUCUUCUACUGCCUACCUAUCCUACACUCGGUUGUUCCGAGACCCAUGUUGAACAUCCUCGAACAUCACUCAUAAUCCCAUCCUCCAUUCGAGGCAAUCCUCUCAAGCCGCCCACGUUAUUGAUCGCACGACAUCAGUUUGAUAAAUCUCUGGUCCAUUGUGUGAGCAUAAAACUCGGCAUCGACGGAUCCGCUGACCUCCUCCAGCUUUCCUUUACUUUGCACCUGCCUUUGUCGGGCAUUCAAUUGUGGGACGGACUGUACUCCCCUUCUUCCAUGGCAUUAUUUAUGGGCACAGCGAGCAGUCCAGCUUGGCGCAGUUGUUAGGUUGGUGGGGGCUUCAUUGUUUUUACCACUAAACACCUGGCAAUAUAUCUUUUUGGUGCCACUGAAACGCGAGUUAAUCUAUGGACUGGCCCUUUUUAUUCCGCUUUAUCUUGCUGAAAGGCCAUGAAAGAUUGAGCUCUUCUUAUGCAAAAUGGAGCGAAGGGAAAAAAUGGUCGCGCUGUUCAGUGGCAGUUCAAACGACCAUAUCUAGUAAUUGCCCCUUUGAAUUGAAGAAAAACCGUAGUGCUAAAGUCUAAAGAUUAUAUACGCCCAGGUUGCGCAGUUCCAUUGGCACGCAGGAAAUUUAAAUCAACAAUUAAUUAAGGAGCAAAUUGAAAUUCAUGACUGUCGCUAAUCAGGCCCGCAUUUACAUGAAACCAAUAGCUGCAGAACGGUGGAAAAAAACUAUUAAAGGGCAAAGGCGCAAAAAAAAACCGGCAAAAUUAUGUCAGCAAUUAGGCAAACUAUGACACUCGAAAGAGGAACUCUCACUCUGCGAGGGAGUAGGGCGGAAAAUCGAGGAGCGAAGUGGAUUUGAAGGCAGACGGUAGAUGGCGAACGUGGACAUCAUUAAAAACUCAUUUACAUGCAGGCUGGGCUCUGUCGCAGGACAUUUG
This is a long non-coding RNA of Drosophila santomea, 1082 nucleotides long. RefSeq lists it as uncharacterized. The record is from RefSeq and is a predicted model, not a curated record. NCBI's taxonomy places the organism in Eukaryota, Metazoa, Arthropoda, Insecta, Diptera, Drosophilidae. The transcript is spliced from 3 exons.